AACGAACGCUGGCGGCAGGCCUAACACAUGCAAGUCGAGCGACCAUUCGGGGGAGUGGCUGACGGGUGAGUAACGCGUGGGAAUUUGCCCUUCUCUACGGAAUAGCCUCGGGAGACUGAGAUUAAUACCGGAUACGCCCUAUGGGGGCAAGAUUUAUCGGGGAAGGAUUGGCGCGCGUGGCAUUACGUGUUUUGUUGGGUAAUGGCCUACCAAGCCGACGAUCUAUAGCAGGUUUGAGAGGAUGAUCAGACACACGGAGACUGAGACACGGCCCAGACUCCUACGGGAGGCAGGAAUGGGGGAUCGUAGACAAUGGGGGCAACCCUGAUCUAGCCAUGCCGCGAGAGUUAUGAAGGUCUUAGGGAUGUAAAGCUCUAUCAGCUAGGAAGAUAAUGACGGUACCAACAGAAGAAGCCCCGGCUAACUCCGUG
RNAcentral lists this ribosomal RNA (431 nucleotides) under uncultured bacterium. Its description in RNAcentral is "partial 16S ribosomal RNA". It matches the Rfam family "Bacterial small subunit ribosomal RNA", at positions 29 to 507 of the family's 1533-position model. The record is from RNAcentral.